This 212-nucleotide long non-coding RNA is filed under the name Ananas comosus (pineapple). RNAcentral describes it as "long non-coding RNA (ACOM_LNC042699)". Lineage: Eukaryota; Viridiplantae; Streptophyta; Magnoliopsida; Poales; Bromeliaceae. The record is from RNAcentral.
UUGAUUACGUCCCGAUUGUUAAAAGAAAUGUUAAAAUUAAUAAAAUUGUCAUAUCAGUGCCGUCACGCCCCGAAUUCCUCGUUUCUCCGGGUACGCUAACAGAUCCGACGUAUAUAAAGAAAUUUUUCCUGUAUACGAAGCGAAUCUGUACAUGUACUUGCAAUCAUACAAUAUUACAACCAGUAGUAUAGAGAUGCUAGAAAAGAAUAAAA